Myotis daubentonii (Daubenton's bat) is the source of this 4854-nucleotide long non-coding RNA. RefSeq lists it as uncharacterized. The record is from RefSeq and is a predicted model, not a curated record. NCBI's taxonomy places the organism in Eukaryota, Metazoa, Chordata, Mammalia, Chiroptera, Vespertilionidae.
CUGUGGGCACAGAGGCAGGUCUCAGCCCAUCCUCUGUGCCUCUGCCUGGCCCCUCCCACUAUGGCCCCCUGGUCCCUUUUCUGCCAGCAGCCCCACUCCUGCCACAACUGCUCCCACACGCUGACAGCAUCAGUCCCGCUCGCACCUGCUGACAACGCGGAGCAAUUGGGGCUGUUGGCAGCAGCGGGUGUGAGCAGGGCCAGCGCCAUCAGCAGGUGCGAGCUGCGGAUGCUGCCCCAAUUACCCCUCAGGAGCAAGGGGAGGUGGGAGAAGCCCUCAGGGGCGAUUGGGGCCACCAGCUGCUGUUCACGCCUGCUGACAGUGCUGAGCGAUCCAGACGGCACUAGGCGCCAGCAGCAGGUGCGAGUGGCGGCUCUGGCACCGGCUGCAAGUGCGAGUGAGGCCGGCACCCGCAGUGGGUGUGAGAGGCGGCUGCUGGCCCUGAUUGCCCCUCUGGAGCAGGGGGAGGUGGAGAAGCCCUGAGGGGUGAUCAGGGCUGGCAGCCGCCACUUGCACCUGCUGAUGGUGCCAAGUGAUCGAGGCUGGCGCUGGGCACCAGCAGCAGGUGAGAGCAGUGGUUCUGGAGCCGGCAAUGGGUGCAAGUGGGCUGGUGCUGGCAGCAGGUGUGAGUGCCCAGCGGGACUGCAGCACGCGGGAGCAAAGAAUUUUCAGUAACCACCAGAGGCUUGCCCCGAUGACUGCGACCAGCACCCUGCCUUGGUCUGGCGCCCCCACUCACCUGCUCCACCAUCCUGCUGUGGCUGAUGCCCACCCUGUUUUGCACUCUGCCUCCUGCUGUGGAUGCGCGCCAUGUUCUGCGCAUGCCCCCUGGUGGUCAGCACACGUCAUAGUGACCAGUUGUCUGGUUGUUCAAUUGUUCAGUUGUUCUGCCAUUUGGUCUAUUUACAUAUUAUGGUCUAUUUACAUAUUACAUAUAUAUAUGUAUGCCAUGAUUUCUGCUAGUUUUCAAUAAGAAGGUAGAUAAGCCCAAAGAAUGCUAUAUCUGUCUUACACCAAUAAGACCUAUUUUACACUAAGAACAAUAAUGUAUUUCCAUUUUCCAGGUGCCUCUUUGCUCCUUCUGUCUUGUGGCUACUCAUGAGGGGUUGAAGUUCACAGAGACUUUCGGAUGAACUCUUCAGGGCUGAGACCAAGAGCCACCCCUUAAAAAGUGCUGCUUGUCAAUCCAGUUAACAAAUGAGAUUAACAUCCUCAUCUUAAUGAGUGGCUGGUUCCCAGUCUGUUAUUUCACAGGUUGACACUAGAUGUCAGGGAAAGACUUAGCAUUCUAAUUUGCAGGUCUCAACACCAUCCAGCAGAAAGGAAGGUUGCCUGCUGAGGGAAAUCAGAUAUUGAAAAUUGGCAAAUUUCCCACUGUGACUAUUGGGGACACCAGGGUUCUUAGGCAAAAACAUCACUGCCCUGCACAUGCCCUAUUAGAUAUUCCUUUGAUGCUGUUAAAUUCCAUUUACAUGCCCUGAGCAGGUAGCUCUGUUGGUUAGUGUUGUCCCUAUAUGCCAGGGUUGUAGGUUCAACCCCCAGUCAGGGCACAUACAAAAAUCAACCAAUGAGUACAUACAUAAGUAGAACAACAAAUCUCUCUCUCUCUUCCUCUCUCUGUCUAAAAAUCAAUUAAAAAAAACCCAUUUAUAGAAUGGUUUAUGUCAAGGUCACUUCAGAGAAUUAGGUUGUUUUGGGAGGGGAGAAAUGAGAAUCACCAAUUUAUUCUUUCAACUUUAUUAUAAAAGACAUUCAAUUUUAUUUAGAACAAAAAAGAACAGUAGACAUAGCAUGGUCAUGUUCUUAUAAUCCUUUUUGUUAGUGAAUUAGGAAACAGCCAACCUGAUUAAAAAUUACAUGAAUGUCUCAUAAGAUCAUUCCAAUACUCUGUGGUAGUUUCUUUCAUUUAAUAAAUGAUAUUAACUAAAAAUGUGGUUUUGCUGCAGAAUAACUAAAUCUUGACCUGCUUUAGUUACAUUGAUAGAUUCCCAAGGCUCUCAGCCCCUUAACAGGCUUUCUGAUGUAAUAAAAAGCCAUGUGCUUUUUCAUUACUGUGAAUGGCACAUUCAAAAAAAUUUCCCCCCUCCCACUGUGCCUCUCUCUCCCUCUUUCUCUCUCAUCCGCCUCUCCCCCCGCCACCCCACUACUUACCUACCUGAAAGAAGGCAAUGUGAACAAACUGAAAUCAGGCAGGACAGUGUAAAGAACAAAGCCAGAAAAGGGUACAUGAUUUUCCUCAUCAUGCACACCUCUCCCCCAAUUCUAAAGGGUCAACGCCAUAGUCUUCUCAAUCAUCCUUGGAAAAUCUGCACGCCCAAGGCUAAAAAUAGCAAUCCCCUAGUGGGAAGAGGGCCCACCCAGACAUAGUGUAAUAGUCCCACCCAUGGAAAUACAUUCCAGGAGUCUUCUUGGUAAUUCUGGAAGCCAUUAUAUCAUCAUCAAAAAUAGCAUUUUAAUGUCACAUGGGUGUGUCUUCACUUAUUUGUGAGCUGGAUGUUGGGCAAGGCUCAGGGAACAUGAGAAGAAAAAGACAGAGCUUCUCUGAAGGCUUUCAGUGGAGAUGGGAGGCAAACAGGCCAACAAAUCAUUCUAACGUUCAUGACAGAUAUUGACAAGGAUAUCUGUUGCCACACAGCGAUCUUGACAACCUCUUCCUGUUGUAUAAAAAUUGAUGUGGACCAAAAAUCGAGGUAGUUACUCAGUGUAACUCAGAUUAGAAGAUUACUCAGACAGGAAUAAAAAUAUGGAGGGCUGUCAGUAUUAUUGAUUAUUUGUUGACUGGCUUAUUAAUUAAAAAUACUCACAUGGCACAUACUAUGUGCUAGGUAUCAUUCUAAGAAUUUUGCAACCAUCAAUCCAUUUCAUCCUAAAAACAGACCUACUAGCUAUUAUUCUCUUGAUAGCAAUCACACUAUCUGAAUUGUCUCAUUCAUUUAUUUGUUUAUCUGUUUUUGUGAUCCCCUCCCCCACUCCUCAUGUCACUGACAUUUUAGAGAGCAGUGGUGGUCUUUCUUGUUCACUCAGUGCAUCCCAAGUGCUUUGAAGAGUACUUGGUAUACACUGGAUGCACAACAAAUAUCCCAGCUAGUGAACUUCUGACCUGGAAUUGUUGGCUAUAAGAUGAAACUAUGCAUAGUCAUCAUGCAGAAAUCAUAUAUAUUAGAUAUAGUAGAAAUGCACCCAGCACAGAUUCCUGGGAUAUUUUAAGAACUCAAGAAAUGUGAUUCUCCAUUCUCUCUUGUCCAUAUUUAUUGCAAACUCAUCUCAAGGUUCCUAAAAUGAUAAGAAUUCCAUGCCUCUCGUCUUGUCCACUCCUACUCCCCCCCCACCCCCCACCUCCCCCUCACCCCACAUCCUGGACUACUUUAGUGUCCCUAAUCCUUCCCAUUCAUGUUCUGCUCCAAUUCCUACUAUUUUCUGGUCUCUUCCACAGUUGUUAGGAUAAGUGUGCCCCCUGGUGUCCACUUCAGACAUGACACAUUGUGGGGGAUGGGAGGAUGAGUUAUGGAAGGAGAGAAGUAUUUAUGGAUCAUUUCAAGCAAAUUCAAGAGGGAAGAUACCAGCCCCAAGUUCAGAUAAAAGUGUGGCCCAUAGGAACUAUGGUCUCCAUAUGCAUUCUUCAUGAAAUCCGCAUUGCCCUCUAUGACCUCAUCGCUUGGUCUCAGUUUGCGAUCUAGCUACUCACACAGAUUAUUGCCUCCUCUCAUCAGAAAAAUCAGCCUCCAAUUGAUUUUCUUUCCACACAUAUCCCUCCUUCAAGUAAAGCAUCAUUUUCCUAAAGUUCAUAUUUUCUCAGGCCAUUAAUCUGCUCAAAAAAUAUUCAAUGACUUCAAAUUAAAUGAAGAACAAAGUCCCAUCUCCUCAGCCUGGUAUCCAAGACAUUUCAGAGUCCGGGUUUAAUCUGCCUUUGCAGUUUCAGUCUGUUCUACUCUUCCCUGCCUCCCCGACCUUCACAUGCUUACGUGUCGGGCACCUUGACCAUGUCUCAAAGCUAUGCCUCUACUUCAUCAAAGCUGUGUUGACCUUCAUGCUGUUUCCUCUAUCUGAUUUGCUAUCCCUCUACUUUCCUUUGCCCAUUUAAUCCCAGGUGACUCAAACCCAGUUCAAAGACUCUGACUUCCAUGAACUGCCUGGCCAUUGUUCAUGUUGCCACCAUGACAAUUAGACUACAUCUUAUAAUUGGUUUGCUUUUUCUACAGACUUGCCUUUGCCAGGUUUGUAAGUUUCUUUAGGGCAGGGGUGGUAUCUGAUCUAUUUAAUACAUAGUAGGUUCAUAACCUGAAUGGGUAAAUGAAUAUCAAUGCUGAGGCUGGAGUCCGUGUUUCUGGAGCCUAGUCAGACUGGUCUGAGAGGGAAGAGGCCACUUAUCUUAAUAUUGGGACAGAAUAUUUAAAAUUGGAAUGGCCUUGGGCAUAAGUAGUCUAAACUGAAAGCUGGGUUUCCACUUCAGUUCUGUGAGCCUGAGCUUCCUUAGGGAAAUGAUGCACACAGUCGUUUCUGAAUCUCCUUCUUUAUAUUGAAAGGAAGAAGGUGAGGAACUCAGGAAAUGUCUUCUGUACUCUGAUAAAAGGCAAAGUGCGAAAGUUGACAUUAUUAGACUAUCAAUGACAUGCGUAUGGGAAGUUGUAUUUCUGAAGCACUCUGCCAUCCCAAAAUUUAAUUUAGGUUUAUAUUUCUUUUGUUUGUAUCCCAUGGUAGCUGUAUUUUACAAGUAAUUGAGACAAACAAGACUGAUGCUAUGAUAUAAUCUCUUAACUAAUUUCAAGACAAAGGACUAUAUAGUAAUAUAUAGUGGAUUCAACACAGUCCUGGAGCUUUAGUAACUAGAUAAAUAAAAACUUAUCUUCUUCCCGA